Long non-coding RNA from Oryctolagus cuniculus (rabbit), 502 nucleotides. RefSeq lists it as uncharacterized. NCBI's taxonomy places the organism in Eukaryota, Metazoa, Chordata, Mammalia, Lagomorpha, Leporidae. The record is from RefSeq and is a predicted model, not a curated record.
CUCUUGCCCCGGCACCGCAGCGCCCCCUGCGGGCGGCCCCGCCUCAGCGAAGGGGAGCCGUUGAGCCCGCGUUCCUGGCGCGAACGCUAUGAGGCCGAGCCGCGCCUCCCUGCUCGCCCUGUGCGUCCUCCUCUGCCUCCCCGGGGUCCAGCCUGGAGUCAUGAGGAGAGCCGCCGACCCGAAGCCCGGGUAUUGCCCCGAGUUCUUCCCCGAGUGCCCGUUCACGCUGUUCCCUUCGUGCCGGCGCGAUCAGGGCUGCAGGGGGGCCAAGAAGUGCUGCUUCUACCAGUGCCGGCGCCAGUGCAUGGAGCCCUGGCUGUCGCUGGACUGAGGUGGAAACCCCUUGCCACGCGGGCCUGAGACGCUGGUGCUGCAGGCUCAGACGUGGACAGCUGGUCUCCGGUGCUUGGGUGCCCGCCCAGCGCCAGGACUUCAGUUUCUCAAGAGUUAAAUGCUUGUUGAUGUGGAAAAUGAAACAGAGAAAUAAAGCAGUGUGCAUUAA